GAUGGGAAGACCCAUCGAGCCCUAUACAGAAAAAGAUAGACAUGAAAUCAGGGGCUAGGCUCGGAUAGUAUCAUGAUACGUCGAUGUCUAAGCAUCACAUCCUGGGGUUGAAGAAGGUCCCGAGGGCUCCGAGUUGUUCGCCGAUGAAUGUGGUACGUGAGUUGGGUGUGAACCUCGUGAGACUGUCGGUUCCUAUC
Molecule: non-coding RNA, 197 nt
Filed under: Marchantia polymorpha subsp. ruderalis
Lineage: Eukaryota; Viridiplantae; Streptophyta; Marchantiopsida; Marchantiales; Marchantiaceae
Source: Rfam by way of RNAcentral